RNAcentral lists this ribosomal RNA (253 nucleotides) under uncultured bacterium. Its description in RNAcentral is "partial 16S ribosomal RNA". It matches the Rfam family "Bacterial small subunit ribosomal RNA", at positions 524 to 776 of the family's 1533-position model. The record is from RNAcentral.
UACGGGGGGAGCAAGCGUUGUUCGGAUUUACUGGGCGUAAAGGGCGCGUAGGCGGCGUGGUAAGUCACUUGUGAAAUCUCCGGGCUUAACUCGGAAAGGUCAACUGAUACUGUGCGACUAGAGUGCGGAAGGGGCAACUGGAAUUCUCGGUGUAGCGGUGAAAUGCGUAGAUAUCGAGAGGAACACCUGCGGCGAAGGCGGGUUGCUGGGCCGACGCUGACGCUGAUGCGCGAAAGCCAGGGGAGCGAACGGG